This 301-nucleotide ribosomal RNA is filed under the name uncultured bacterium. Its description in RNAcentral is "partial 16S ribosomal RNA". It matches the Rfam family "Bacterial small subunit ribosomal RNA", at positions 509 to 807 of the family's 1533-position model. The record is from RNAcentral.
CAGUCGCCGCGGGAAAACGAAGGGUGCAAGCGUUAAUCGGAAUUACUGGGCGUAAAGCGUGCGCAGGCGGUUUGUUAAGACAGAUGUGAAAUCCCCGGGCUCAACCUGGGAACUGCAUUUGUGACUGGCAAGCUAGAGUCUGGCAGAGGGGGGUGGAAUUCCGCGUGUAGCAGUGAAAUGCGUAGAUAUGCGGAGGAACACCGAUGGCGAAGGCAGCCCCCUGGGCCAACACUGACGCUCAUGCACGAAAGCGUGGGGAGCAAACAGGAUUAGAGACCCGCGUAGUCCCUGUCUCUUAUAC